GGGGGGGGUUUGUGUAUAACGAAAACAAUAAAACAAUUAAAGAACAAUUUAGAUUAAAGUAUUGAAAUCAAUCAAAAGAACAAAUCUUGGCCUAAUUCAACAUCCACCAUCGGAAUUUUACAACUAAUCAUUGAUGCAAGGAUAUAUCAAUUUACACUUUGAAUGUCCACCGUUAGAAAUAUUUUUCUAUCUCUUCUUAGUCAUAGUUAAUUAAAAACAAACGAUCUAAUUAACUCUAACUACUAAACAACCCAAGACAAGCGCUAAAGGUUUAAUCUAGUAGCAGCCUUAAGAAUUAGAGAGAUCGAUGAAGCUAAACAACACAAACACAAGCGGUUGCAUUUGAUUUAACCGAGUAUU
RNAcentral lists this long non-coding RNA (360 nucleotides) under Phoenix dactylifera (date palm). RNAcentral's name for it is "long non-coding RNA (PDAC_LNC005782)". Lineage: Eukaryota; Viridiplantae; Streptophyta; Magnoliopsida; Arecales; Arecaceae. The record is from RNAcentral.